GCGUCUUACUUCGAAGAUGUCCAUUAAAUUUGCAUUUAAAUCCAUUAAAUGCAUUUGAUUUCCAUUCUGUGCAUUUUCUUAACAGUGGGAUCAAACUGUCAAAAUUGAUUCUUCUCUCACCACUACAAAUGCAUGAAUGUUGUCAGUUAUCAAUGUCAAAGUUAGCUAGUUUAUUUUCAUUUUUUUAUUUGUGGCCUCUGUUUUUCAAUUAUUGUGGUAUCCGCGGAACGAAGUUCCGAGAGAAAGUGCUCAAUCUGCGAAUAAACCCGGAGAAGCAGGCGCUGAAAUUCUCUCAUAUGCCUAAUUCAAUUACAUCUUAUGCGGAACCAUCAUCUACCCCACGAUGGGAAUGAUUCUGAGAUGACUCGAUAUCGUCGAAAUGUGACAUCGCGCCGAUAUCAGCCCCACAGCAGCACUUCCGGAUUUUCUAAAGCCAUCGGCAACCAAACGAAAGGAACGUUUUGAUUUAGCCGGAUAGAGU
This is a long non-coding RNA of Aedes albopictus (Asian tiger mosquito), 481 nucleotides long. RefSeq lists it as uncharacterized. The transcript has 2 exons. Lineage: Eukaryota; Metazoa; Arthropoda; Insecta; Diptera; Culicidae. The record is from RefSeq and is a predicted model, not a curated record.